RNAcentral lists this ribosomal RNA (253 nucleotides) under uncultured bacterium. RNAcentral's name for it is "partial 16S ribosomal RNA". It matches the Rfam family "Bacterial small subunit ribosomal RNA", at positions 524 to 776 of the family's 1533-position model. The record is from RNAcentral.
UACAGAGGGUGCGAGCGUUGUCCGGAAUCACUGGGCGUAAAGGGUGCGUAGGUGGCCUGUUAAGCGUGUGGUGAAAGCCUGGGGCUCAACCCCAGGUCUGCCGUGCGAACUGACAGGCUUGAGCAGAGUAGAGGCGAGUGGAAUUUCGGGUGUAGCGGUGGAAUGCGUAGAUAUCUGGAGGAACACCGGUGGCGAAGGCGGCAUCCUGGACCGACACUGACACUGAGGAGCGAAAGCCAGGGGAGCAAACGGG